AGAGUUUGAUCAUGGCUCAGGACGAACGCUGGCGGCGUGCCUAAUACAUGCAAGUCGAGCGGACCUUUCGGGGUCAGCGGCGGACGGGUGAGUAACACGUGGGCAAUCUGCCCGAUACUCUGGGAUAACGCUUGGAAACGAGUGCUAAUACCGGAUGGUCUUCUUGGUCGCAUGGCCGAGAAGGAAAAGACGCGUUCGCGUCGGUGUCGGAUGAGCCCGCGGCGCAUUAGCUAGUUGGUGAGGUAACGGCCCACCAAGGCGACGAUGCGUAGCCGACCUGAGAGGGUGACCGGCCACACUGGGACUGAGACACGGCCCAGACUCCUACGGGAGGCAGCAGUAGGGAAUCUUCCACAAUGGGCGAAAGCCUGAUGGAGCAACGCCGCGUGAGUGAUGAAGGCCUUCGGGUUGUAAAACUCUGUCAUUCGGGACGAACCGGAGUCUGAGGAAAUGCAGACUCUCUGACGGUACCGGAGGAGGAAGCCCCGGCUAACUACGUGCCAGCAGCCGCGGUAAUACGUAGGGGGCAAGCGUUGUCCGGAUUCACUGGGCGUAAAGCGCGCGCAGGCGGU
Molecule: ribosomal RNA, 572 nt
Filed under: uncultured bacterium
Lineage: Bacteria
Description: bacterial SSU rRNA
Rfam family: Bacterial small subunit ribosomal RNA
Source: RNAcentral